This 253-nucleotide ribosomal RNA is filed under the name uncultured bacterium. Its description in RNAcentral is "partial 16S ribosomal RNA". It matches the Rfam family "Bacterial small subunit ribosomal RNA", at positions 524 to 776 of the family's 1533-position model. The record is from RNAcentral.
UACAGAGGGUGCGAACGUUGCUCGGAAUUACUGGGCGUAAAGCGCAUGUAGGCGGAUCCAUAAGUCGGGCGUGAAAUCCCCAGGCUCAACCUGGGAACUGCGCUCGAAACUGUGGGUCUUGAGUGUUGGAGAGGAUGGCGGAAUUCCUGGUGUAGAGGUGAAAUUCGUAGAUAUGGGGAGGAACACCGGUGGCGAAGGCGGCCACCUGGACGGUAACUGACGCUGAGACGCGAAAGCGUGGGGAGCAAACAGG